UACGGAGGGGGCAAGCGUUGUUCGGAAUUACUGGGCGUAAAGGGCGCGUAGGCGGCCUUGUAAGUCGAACGUGAAAUCCCCGGGCUCAACCCGGGAACUGCGUCCGAUACUGGAAGGCUUGAAUCCGGGAGAGGGAUGCGGAAUUCCAGGUGUAGCGGUGAAAUGCGUAGAUAUCUGGAGGAACACCGGUGGCGAAGGCGGCAUCCUGGACCGGUAUUGACGCUGAGGCGCGAAAGCCAGGGGAGCAAACGGG
This 253-nucleotide ribosomal RNA is filed under the name uncultured bacterium. RNAcentral describes it as "partial 16S ribosomal RNA". It matches the Rfam family "Bacterial small subunit ribosomal RNA", at positions 524 to 776 of the family's 1533-position model. The record is from RNAcentral.